GCCUCUUUAGCUCAGUUGGCCAGAGCACCUGUCUUGUAAACAGGGGGUCACCGGUUCGAAUCCGGUAAGGGGCUCGA
This is a transfer RNA of 77 nucleotides. It matches the Rfam family "tRNA". Rfam says of the family: Transfer RNA (tRNA) molecules are approximately 80 nucleotides in length. Their secondary structure includes four short double-helical elements and three loops (D, anti-codon, and T loops).